Molecule: long non-coding RNA, 617 nt
Organism: Vespula pensylvanica (western yellowjacket)
Lineage: Eukaryota; Metazoa; Arthropoda; Insecta; Hymenoptera; Vespidae
Exons: 2
Source: RefSeq, a predicted model, not a curated record
AAUGUUGAGAGUGUCGUAUCUCGAAAGCUUCGUCGUAUCCACUUUAAGAAUAUCUGCAGUAUCUUUAAAACAUUUUUAGAUUUAUCGAAUAUCUAAAUAUUCUUUUCUACAAGUGUAUAUCUUUUAUCAUCACCGUACAUUUUUAUUAUCACCGAUGGAAGUAAUACGGAUAAUGGCGACUGUGAAAACUUCAUGUAAGAAUCGUCGCAAAUUUUGAAAGCUGCUUCUUGGAAUUCAGCGAAAGAUUUUAAUGGGUUUAAUCAAAUUACAAUGCGUAAACGAGCUGGGGAACCAAUUGCUAUUAAACCAAAUGGAGAUUACGCGAAUCCGUUAAUGUAAUCGAGGAACGAGCGAAAUAAUAAAGCCGCGGUAGAAGGAAUUCGCUGGAAUAUGCAAAUCACAUCAAAUGGAUCAUGCGUACGUAACAUGGAAGAUACCUAUGCAAGGACUAAGUACUAUUACCAUUGGCUUAACGAAACGAAAUGAACUUCUUCCCUAUUGUAAUCGCAUAUCCAUGAUGUUUCAUUAAUUCUCUUUUUUAAUUUUCUUUUCGACUCUUGUUAAUUAACUUCUAAGAUUUAUACAUAUAUGUAUAAAAAUAUUAUCAACGAUCAAAA